GAUGGACGCUGGCGGCGUGCCUAAUACAUGCGAGUCGAGCGAACAGAUGAGGAGCUUGCUCCUCUGACGUUAGCGGCGGACGGGUGAGUAACACGUGGAUAACCUACCUAUAAGACUGGGAUAACUUCGGGAAACCGGAGCUAAUACCGGAUAAUAUAUUGAACCGCAUGGUUCAAUAGUGAAAGACGGUUUUGCUGUCACUUAUAGAUGGAUCCGCGCCGCAUUAGCUAGUUGGUAAGGUAACGGCUUACCAAGGCAACGAUGCGUAGCCGACCUGAGAGGGUGAUCGGCCACACUGGAACUGAGACACGGUCCAGACUCCUACGGGAGGCAGCAGUAGGGAAUCUUCCGCAAUGGGCGAAAGCCUGACGGAGCAACGCCGCGUGAGUGAUGAAGGUCUUCGGAUCGUAAAACUCUGUUAUUAGGGAAGAACAAAUGUGUAAGUAACUAUGCACGUCUUGACGGUACCUAAUCAGAAAGCCACGGCUAACUACGUG
RNAcentral lists this ribosomal RNA (497 nucleotides) under uncultured bacterium. Its description in RNAcentral is "partial 16S ribosomal RNA". It matches the Rfam family "Bacterial small subunit ribosomal RNA", at positions 28 to 507 of the family's 1533-position model. The record is from RNAcentral.